AUUGAACGCUGGCGGAAUGCUUUACACAUGCAAGUCGAACGGCAGCACGGACUUCGGUCUGGUGGCGAGUGGCGAACGGGUGAGUAAUGUAUCGGAACGUGCCCAGUCGUGGGGGAUAACGUAGUGAAAACUACGCUAAUACCGCAUACGAUCUAUGGAUGAAAGCGGGGGAUCGCAAGACCUCGCGCGAUUGGAGCGGCCGAUAUCAGAUUAGGUAGUUGGUGGGGUAAAGGCCCACCAAGCCAACGAUCUGUAGCUGGUCUGAGAGGACGAACAGCCACACGGGAACUGGGACACGGUCCAGACUCCUACGGGAGGCAGCAGUGGGGAAUUUUGUACAAUGGGCGAAAGCCUGAUCCAGCCAUUCCGCGUGCAGGAUGAAGGCCCUCGGGUUGUAAACUGCUUUUGUACAGAACGAAAAGGUUUCUACUAAUACUAGGAGCUCAUGACGGUACUGUAAGAAUAAGCACCGGCUAACUACGUGCCAGCAGCCGCUGUAA
Molecule: ribosomal RNA, 500 nt
Filed under: uncultured bacterium
Lineage: Bacteria
Description: partial 16S ribosomal RNA
Rfam family: Bacterial small subunit ribosomal RNA
Source: RNAcentral